UUCCCUACGGGGCGCAGCAGUGGGGAAUAUUGCACAAUGGGGGAAACCCUGAUGCAGCGACGCCGCGUGAGUGAAGAAGCGUUUCGGCGCGUAAAGCUCUGUCAGCGGGGAAGAAACACGGUUCGCGAGAGCCGCGGACGGUGCCCGACCAAGAAGCCCCGGCUAACUACGUGCCAGCAGCCGCGGUAAUACGUAGGGGGCAAGCGUUAUCCGGAUUUACUGGGUGUAAAGGGGGCGCAGACGGCGAUGCAAGCCAGGAGUGAAAGCCCGGGGCCCAACCCCGGGAC
RNAcentral lists this ribosomal RNA (287 nucleotides) under uncultured bacterium. RNAcentral's name for it is "partial 16S ribosomal RNA". It matches the Rfam family "Bacterial small subunit ribosomal RNA", at positions 335 to 621 of the family's 1533-position model. The record is from RNAcentral.